GUUUUUUGUUUUGAGCACUUUUUAGGGGUUAGGGUUUUGCACUUAAUUGGAUGGGGCUAUUUUGUUGCCCCCUAUUUUCCCAUUUAUUUGUUUUGAGCACUUUUUAAUUCUUGUUUUGCACUAAAUUGGAUGGUACAUACACAUCAAUAAAGGAACAACUAUAUUGCACAUCAUCGUCACGAAUAUAUUACACCAUCUCAUCC
RNAcentral lists this long non-coding RNA (203 nucleotides) under Hordeum vulgare. RNAcentral's name for it is "long non-coding RNA (HVUL_LNC005272)". The record is from RNAcentral. Lineage: Eukaryota; Viridiplantae; Streptophyta; Magnoliopsida; Poales; Poaceae.